Molecule: ribosomal RNA, 301 nt
Filed under: uncultured bacterium
Lineage: Bacteria
Description: partial 16S ribosomal RNA
Rfam family: Bacterial small subunit ribosomal RNA
Source: RNAcentral
CAGUCGCCGCGGUAAUACAGAGGAUGCAAGCGUUAUCCGGAAUGAUUGGGCGUAAAGGGCUCGCAGGCGGUUUCUUAAGUCUGAUGUGAAAGCCCCCGGCUCAACCGGGGAGGGUCAUUGGAAACUGGGAAACUUGAGUGCAGAAGAGGAGAGUGGAAUUCCACGUGUAGCGGUGAAAUGCGUAGAGAUGUGGAGGAACACCAGUGGCGAAGGCGACUCUCUGGUCUGUAACUGACGCUGAGGAGCGAAAGCGUGGGGAGCGAACAGGAUUAGAGACCCCCGUAGUCCCUGUCUCUUAUAA